GGACGCUGUAAACAGGAAGAGCCCAUCAAUCACCCUCGGUCACUGAGCUAGCAAGCUAAUGUUAGCUAGUGAGUCACAUAAAUGAACGUUCAGCCUGUUAAUUACAGUCCGAUUGGACUUGUCUUACUUAAUCAGCAUGGCUUAACAUUGUUUCUUUCGUUUUUGACAUCGACAUUCUUGCUGGAUAGAUACUUUGAUAGCUAACAUGCUGGCGCUGCUAGCUAGCUAAUGUUAACGACGCUAACGGCGCUAGCUAACAUCCUAUGUGGAUGCAUCCAUCUAGUUCCCAAGAGCAGCAGACCACUAACCUAUGCGGAUGCCUCCGUCUAGUUCCCAAGAGCAGCAGACCGGCCCUCCAUUCCCAAACCUGAAGCCCCCUGUCCCCAGCAUGAAAGACCAGGAAAAAGUGUUGGCUUAAGGUACAACUUCCUAUUGAGGAAAUAUCUGCCAACCAGGCUCGGUGGGUGACAGGUAGCCGUUUUUCCACCAAGCUGUUCCAGGCCUGGAGUGGCACGCUGGAGCUUCCAGAGGCUAGUAGACCUAAAGCAGUGUGAUGUGGUCCAGAUCUGACACCCCUAUUAGUUCAACCACAGCCCUCACAGCUGCAUUCGCCUGCCCCUGCUACACCGGCCGCGACAGGUGAUACAGAUCUGCCACCCCCAGCAGUUCAGCUGCAGUCACAGCAGUCCUCUGCUAUGGCAUUUAAUUUACCGGCUGCACCAGUUCCUACUACACUGGCCGUGAAAGGAGACACUUUUGAGGAUUCCCAGAUGGAUGCAGAUCUGCCAUGCACUCCACCACUGCCUGACAGCCUCACCCAGAAGUGCAUACACUGGGCCUAUCAAGACUGACAAAGCAGAGAUGGGUGGCUGAUACGGAAAAAUAAAACACAACAUGCUCACACUCUCUCUCUCUCUGUCACACACACUCACACACAUUAUCCCCAGUGUAAAUACGUUGUAAUUACUUGUUUAUUUUUUGUUUGCUCCAUUUUAUUUUAGGAUUGGAGAUAUCUACUCCUACAUAUCCAUCCUCAAUAUCUACAUCAUUACUCUAAAUAUCUAUCCAAGUGUGAUUGAUAAUAUUGUAAAAGACUAUUGCUUAAUGUGUACAGUUUGAAGAACUUCUGUGUGCUUUUUUCUGAGUUGAAAAACAUGCCUCCCUCUCACACACACAUUAGACCCAAUGUAAACACAUUGUUUCUUUUAUGGAUGUUCCAUUUUAAUUGAGGAUUGUGUGCAAUAAAGUACAUUCACAGUUAAA
This is a long non-coding RNA of Coregonus clupeaformis (lake whitefish), 1263 nucleotides long. RefSeq lists it as uncharacterized. The record is from RefSeq and is a predicted model, not a curated record. NCBI's taxonomy places the organism in Eukaryota, Metazoa, Chordata, Actinopteri, Salmoniformes, Salmonidae. The transcript is spliced from 7 exons.